GCUGCUGCUGUGGUUCCACCCCUCGCCUGGGAAUUUCCAUAUGCCACAGGUAUGGCCCUAAAAAAAGGGAAAAAGGCCGACAAUAUCAAGUUCUGGCAAGGAUUUGAAUUAAUACUGAAUUUUCACACCUUUUUGGUGAGAGCAUAAUUUGAAACAAAGUAAAGAUAUUUGUGCCCGGUCCCCCAACAAUUCUGCUCUUCAAUAUACAGAACUAAAAGUACCUGUGUAUUCACCCAAAGUCAUGCACAAAAAUGUGAUAGCAGUACAUAAUAUUGAGGAGCAAAAGGAGGAAAAAUGCAUGUGACAGCAGACAUCAAAACAGUUGUUACCUUUGGGAAGAGGCAGGUGGUGAUAGAGGGGGGAGAUGGUGACUGUGAGGGGGCCUGAGGGGUCGCUGGUCACAUCUAUGUGUUUACUUUGUGAAACUCCAUUGAGCCGUACCCUUACCUGAAUAUGUUAUACUUUAUAAAACAUUUAAUUCUUAAAAUCUUGUGGAAGGCAAAUAACAGAGAAAAAAAUAGAAAUGUUUUCAUAAAACUAAAAGUCCCUUUGUUUUGAAGAAGACAAAAUUGCUCUGUGUAAAGCACUGCUCUGUAUGGGUGAAGAAGACACCUGGGGUAGACCUUUUAAAUGCAGUUAUGAUGUAAAAUCAGAGACUUCUACAUGCUACACCAGUCUCAGCAACAUAAACAAAUGCCAAAGAAGAACAGACAGAAAAUUGAAGAAAACUAGCCAUACAAAUCUGGAGAACCAAAAACAAACAAAAUGUUUCUAAGAAAUCAAAUUGGAGAAGUAAAAAUACAUGUUUUAUAUGAUAAUCAAACCACUCUGCCCAUGGGGAUUUUGGGAAUCUGCCUUCUCAGAAUGAAAGCCACGGGUUACCAUGCAGGGCAAGGAUAAAGGAAGAAAAAGGUACAUUGCAUAACGAAAGGGCAUCAGAAUGAGUAGAAGAUAAUUCCCUUGGACGUGAAAUGCAAUCAAGUCAAGACCCAUAUUUUAUCUCUGCUGGAGGCAGGCUUAUUUGUUAGUAAAGUGCUGGGAUAAUCAACCAUUGUUCUGCCUGCCAAGACUGUCAAAACAAAUACAAGCUUCUUUGCUCAGUGCUAAAAAUGUCUGAGCCUUUAGAGAACAGCUGGGCAAAAAGCAAUCUUGUUCAAUUUCAGCACAUUUUUCCCCAAGUAUUAGGCUGUCCAAAUGCAACCCACAUCAAAGCAUCCCCAACACUCACUGCAGGGACAGACCUGUCAUGCAAACACGGCCUAUCAAACUUGAGCAAGCAGAACGCACAAUGAAACUACUUUAAACUUGUCCAACUCCACGUCUAAAGGAGCAAGGACUUUGAAGCAUAAAAAAGCUACUCUAAACAAAUAAUUUCUUUCAGUUGCUUUCUAUAAUGUUAAAGAAAUAAUGUUGGUCUGCUUGCAAAAUUCUGUGUCUUGAUGAGGCUCUGGGACAUGAGAAAUGUUUCAUGAUCUCUUAGCUCUCUAUACCAGUAUGGCCUAAGGGACACCUUCUCCUGAGCAUUUUCAGAAUUAUUCUCUAGUUUCUAAAUUCAGCUUUUAUCAAAGCAUGCCUUUUUGUGGCUUUGUGAUAUAUAUUAAUUAGGAGGUAUAUCAAUUAAGAUGUAUGGGGAUGCAAGUAACAAAAAAUUAAAAAUCAACCCAGCUGACUUAAUAUUUCUUUCAUCAAGUAACAAGAAUCUAGGGUGUAAUGUACAAGAUGGUAACUACAGUUAAUAAAACUAAAUUACAUAUUUGAAAGUCAAUAAGAGAGUAGACCUUAAAAGCUCUCAUUACAAGAAAACAAAAUUUAAACUGUAUAUGGUGGCAGAUGUUAAAUAGACUUAUUUUGACCAUUUGGCAAUAUAUACAACUAUCAAAUCAUUAUGUUGCCUGCCUGAUAUCAAUAUAAUUUAUAGGUCAAUUAUACAUAAAAUUUUUAAAUAAAUAAAUAGAGGAAGUUUCCACUGUGGUGCAGUGGGUUAUAGAUCCAGCAUGGGUUGCAGCUGCAGUUCGGAUUCUACCCCUGGUCCAGGAAACUCCAUAUGCCACGGGUGCAGCCAUACAAAAUUAAUUAAUUAAACAAGAAUCCCAGAGGUAAAGCAGUCCCAGUUGGGUUAACUCAGUAGCUCAAAUGGGUCAUCAAAGGGCCAAUUCUUUGCAUAUUUCAGUUCUCUUAUCCUCAUACUAGGUCCCCUCAUGGUCGUAAUAUGGCUGCAACAGUUCCAAGCAUCGCACCCAGAUACUUAAAUGUUAGAAUAGGAAGUGUUCCUGUGAGUUUCUUUCUAUCAAUGAGAAAAAUAUCCUUGUAGAAGGCAAAGAUUCCUCAUCAUGUUUUAUUGGUCAUAAUUGUGUCAUAUGCCCAUGUCUAAACCAAAAGGGAUCAAUCACAAUACAACCAUUAGACUAAUUUACUUCUAAACACAAGGAUAAGGUGACCUUUCUAGGACUGAUAUGAGGGAGGGAUGGACACCCAAAUAUGUGUGGGAUCCUGCCAGUGAAGAAGGAAGGGGAAUAAGCUGUUAGGUAGGCAACCAUCUGUUUCUGCUAAAAUUAGGAUGCAGGGCAAAAUAUGUUUAGCUAACUAGAUUGAAUUUUGUCUUAGCCAUGGGAUAUGCAGAAAACUUUUUAGGUGGUGACACUGGUUACUGAAAAUUAUUCUAAAAUAUAUUAAUUUCCUUUCUCCCCUGUAAAGGAAUGUAAAGUAGAAUGACACCUUUGGUAACUCCAGGCCAUGACACUCCUCUUCUUCUGCCCUUUGAGAUCUCCUCUUUUAUCCCCAUCCUCAGGUAGGCAGGAGUGAGCCUCGACAUCCAUGUCUGUACAAUGGGCUCCUGAGUCCCUGGCCAUAGAUGAUUGGAGCUGAGGUAUGGACGGUGGACCCCCAACUGGACUGAUCAGCUUCUCUUCCCUAGGAAUUUGGAAUGGAAACACCAUCUGAUUGCAUCAGUUUCUUCAUGUGCUUGGGCCUGUAACACAAAAUCUCCAGAAUGAUUAGGCAACUGUUCUUCUGCCAUUUGGAAUGUGAAAAUAAAGCUGAUAUUUGGGAAAGUACAAGUAAGAUAGGUAUAUGGAGAGACAGACACUCCAUAAGUCCCCUUGAUAUCCACCUCCCCCCGUCCCCAUACACACUCACCUAUAUCCAGAUCCAAAUGAGCUUGGGGAAGUUUACAUUAUUUGCAGCCAAAGAGUCCUAACCCAUACCUAGGAACACAACACCCCUUUUCCAGAGUGACUAAGGAUUCUGCAACAGUUUAAGGUUAUCAUUAAGAACCUCCAGUCUCAUUAGUCAUAACUCUAUGUGCAGAAAACAAAGGACAAUGAGUCAUACCUGUCAUAAGUUCACCCCAGAAGUUGCUACAAAAGUUGCCUUUGUUCCAUGUAAAUCCUCUCUAUGGUUCAGUUUCUAAAGCUUUAACUCUUUUCCUUAAAAAUGUAUUUAAAUUAAACACUCCACAGUAAGGACAACUAUCAGCUGAGUGGCAUCUGUUGUGUUGUGUUGUGUGUUGGAGAACCAGAGAAUUGGCCUCCUACAUACUGAGUUCCAGCUAUUUGCUUUCUGUGUAUUGCCUACUUCCAUCCUCACCACAUACUAUGUAGCAAUCACUAUAAACCAUUUUACCAAUGAGGAAUCCAGGUCUCAGAGAAGCGCAUUGAUUUUUUUUUUUUUUUUAAUGUUCAUAGGGCUAGAAAGCCAUGGAGGAAGAUUUUAAACCCAGAUCUGCAGAGAACCAAAGCUAAUGAUGAUGUUUUCACUACUCCACAUUGUGAUACCAAAACAAACAAACAAACAAAAACUGUGACUGAUCUGAUAUCCUGUAGGUAAAUUCUGAUUAACAGGCUUUUGACCUUGGCUAUGUUAAAUGUCUGUCAUAAUAACAUCAAAUAUUUUAUAUAUUCAGGUACAGGGAGGAUGACCUGUUAGACCCAAUCUAUUAAGGAUAUUUCUGCAUUUUCUAAAUUAAUCAUUGCUACAUCUAGUAGGAGCAGAGGACAAUAAUUUUUCACACCUUAUUCAUAAGGGUGGAAUACCCAAAAGCCAGAGAAGAGUCCAGGGCAACCUCUAGGGCUUCAUCCAGGGCAACCUCCACAUGGCAGACAAGGGCUGAUCCCCACCAGAGGACAAUUCCUUAUUUAGUCUAUAUUUACUUGGGAAGCUGGACCACAUCAGAGUAGGCGCCUAUGCAUCUAACCUCACCUCCGUCUAAGAGCCCGGCAUCAUCAUUAUCCUCAUUUUCUCUACUUGGAUCUGCCUCUUACCAGAAUGCCUGAGGACUAAAUUUUCUCAAAACACUUUCCACAGAGCCAUGUCUUGGACCACCGGGGUGACCCAGCCUGCAUGACACAGCGCUGGGCAGGGUACCCGCAAGUCACUCAAAUCACCUUGGCCAGCAGUUCACCUUGCAGCCCUCCCCUGGGAAUGGUGUGACCCGGCAGGGAAGAGCUGCAUUAGGCAGCCCCCUCGAGGCCCUUUGGCACAGUCUGCUGGAGAGCUGAGCACUCAGCCAAAGUCUGCAGGAAGCUUCCCUUGGUAAGAUUUGUUGGAGCUACUUUCUGCUUCUAUUUUCUAUCCCCAUUCCUGUUUUAGUAUCUGUUUUUGUUUCCAAAUUAUGACACGGCAUGAAAUCUGCCUUCUCUGUUCUCCUGUGGAACCAGGAGGUGUAUGAGUAAGUAGGUAUUUAAUACGUCAAAAGAGCAGGUCCUUCUCCUCACUUCUUAUCUAUGGCUUUAGGAGUUCAACACCCUUCUUUUGUCUUUUGUCCCUCAGCCCAAAUCACACCCAAAAGAUGCUCGAUCCUCUCUAGAUAUGGUGACUUAAAAAAAUAUGGACACUGGAUACAAAUAGAACAGAUUCAACAACUAACAUUGACUAAGUGCUUAUGCUCUGCCGAGUGCCUCAUAAUAGACACCUUAUCGCAUUGAAUUCUCACAGCAAGCCUGGGACAGUGUUGUA
Sus scrofa (pig) is the source of this 4953-nucleotide non-coding RNA. Lineage: Eukaryota; Metazoa; Chordata; Mammalia; Artiodactyla; Suidae. The record is from RefSeq and is a predicted model, not a curated record.